GUGCUCACUUCAACAGCACAUAUACUAUAAUUGGAAGGAUACAGAGAAGAUUAGCAUGGCUUGUGCAACCAUGACACACAAAUUUGUGAAGCAUUCCAUAUUUUU
RNAcentral lists this small nuclear RNA (105 nucleotides) under Phascolarctos cinereus (koala). The record is from RNAcentral. Lineage: Eukaryota; Metazoa; Chordata; Mammalia; Diprotodontia; Phascolarctidae.